Pelobates cultripes (western spadefoot toad) is the source of this 318-nucleotide non-coding RNA. The record is from the annotation of a GenBank genome assembly. Lineage: Eukaryota; Metazoa; Chordata; Amphibia; Anura; Pelobatidae.
CCUGCAGGGCAUUGGCUGAAACUACAUUUGAAUCAAGGACAGUGCUUAUGCCUCAGUCUUACCCUUCAUGUUCCCACCUGACAGGCAAUAGCAGUGGUCCCACUGCACCUCUACUUGCUUUGCAGUAUCUUUGUCCCUAGUUAACAAUAUGCUACUUAAACUUUAUUCUCCUUUUUUCUAUUGGGCUGUCUAUAUGACCUUUAGGGGGGCCUCCUGGGGGUAUACUCUCCUGACAGCGUUGGCAUGGUACUACUCAUGGGCAUUGAACCCUAAUUCUCUGAGCUUCUGUAUCCAGUGCUCUUACCUCUCACUCUACCC